GUGGGGAAUAUUGCACAAUGGGCGCAAGCCUGAUGCAGCCAUGCCGCGUGUAUGAAGAAGGCCUUCGGGUUGUAAAGUACUUUCAGCGGGGAGGAAGGUGUUGUGGUUAAUAACCACAGCAAUUGACGUUACCCGCAGAAGAAGCACCGGCUAACUCCGUGCCAGCAGCCGCGGUAAUACGGAGGGUGCAAGCGUUAAUCGGAAUUACUGGGCGUAAAGCGCACGCAGGCGGUCUGUCAAGUCGGAUGUGAAAUCCCCGGGCUCAACCUGGGAACUGCAUUCGAAACUGGCAGGCUAGAGUCUCGUAGAGGGAGGUAGAAUUCCAGGUGUAGCGGUGAAAUGCGUAGAGAUCUGGAGGAAUACCGGUGGCGAAGGCGGCCUCCUGGACGAAGACUGACGCUCAGGUGCGAAAGCGUGGGGAGCAAACAGG
Molecule: ribosomal RNA, 430 nt
Filed under: uncultured Enterobacter sp.
Lineage: Bacteria; Pseudomonadati; Pseudomonadota; Gammaproteobacteria; Enterobacterales; Enterobacteriaceae
Description: bacterial SSU rRNA
Rfam family: Bacterial small subunit ribosomal RNA
Source: RNAcentral